GAAAUGCGAUACGUAGUGUGAAUUGCAGAAUUCCGCGAAUCAUCGAGUCUUUGAACGCAAGUUGCGCCCGAGGCUCGUCCGAGGGCAUUCCUGCCUGAGCGUCAUCGCGCCACCCACCGAACCCCUCGACCAUGUCUUUGAGGAUUCGAAGUCAUUGGCAGGAGGGUGACGAGUGAAUCUGGCCGUCCGAUCCCGAAGAGAAUCAGAGAUCGGUCGGCUGAAAUUCAGAGAGUCCCGCCGCUGUGGAGACGCGGGCUGCGAUCAGGUGAUCCGACCCUCCCUUGGCCAGGAGUUAGGAAGCGUGCGCAGUCCUCGUCGUCUCCCGAGCAGCCUUGAAUCGUCGGGACUCAGCAGGUCUCCCGGCUUUCGGCCGUCCCGUCCAACGGGACGGUCGAACAGUCGAACGGGAAACAGUCGAACGCAUCAGACCUCAGAUCAGGAAAGACUACCCGCUGAGUUUAA
RNAcentral lists this ribosomal RNA (462 nucleotides) under Polytrichum sp. SJ-2014. Its description in RNAcentral is "eukaryotic LSU rRNA". The stretch from base 1 to 104 matches the Rfam family "5.8S ribosomal RNA", at positions 50 to 154 of the family's 154-position model. Lineage: Eukaryota; Viridiplantae; Streptophyta; Polytrichopsida; Polytrichales; Polytrichaceae. The record is from RNAcentral.